UACGUAGGGUGCGAGCGUUGUCCGGAAUUACUGGGCGUAAAGAGCUCGUAGGUGGUUUGUCGCGUUGUUCGUGAAAACCGGGGGCUUAACCCUCGGCGUGCGGGCGAUACGGGCAGACUUGAGUACUGCAGGGGAGACUGGAAUUCCCGGUGUAGCGGUGAAAUGCGCAGAUAUCAGGAGGAACACCAAUGGCGAAGGCAGCUCGCUGGGACGGUACUGACGCUGAGGUGCGAAAGCGUGGGGAGCAAACAGG
This 253-nucleotide ribosomal RNA is filed under the name uncultured bacterium. RNAcentral describes it as "partial 16S ribosomal RNA". It matches the Rfam family "Bacterial small subunit ribosomal RNA", at positions 524 to 776 of the family's 1533-position model. The record is from RNAcentral.